AUUUCAGGAUUAUUCGAUUUGCUGACACGAAGCACGAGGAAAUUCGGCUUCUAGGGGAAUCAAAAAAUUCCUGAUAUUCGGAUCGAAUUCCACUUCAUGGGAUUCGAGUCGCUCAUCUUUAGUUGUAUAAUUUCAUGGUGU
Molecule: long non-coding RNA, 141 nt
Organism: Bufo bufo (common toad)
Lineage: Eukaryota; Metazoa; Chordata; Amphibia; Anura; Bufonidae
Exons: 3
Source: RefSeq, a predicted model, not a curated record